UGAUUGGUGACCUAUAAAGAAAUAUAAGGAAUGAAGAGGAACAUGACUAAAAAAAAAUAAUAAAGAAAAAA
Molecule: small RNA, 71 nt
Filed under: Arabidopsis thaliana (thale cress)
Lineage: Eukaryota; Viridiplantae; Streptophyta; Magnoliopsida; Brassicales; Brassicaceae
Description: ATSL149120
Source: RNAcentral